GAAGCGGCUGGUCGAGCGGGGCGUGGUCGGGGACUUCCGUUCCCCGGACAUCCUGCGGUUCGGCUUCACUCCGCUGUAC
This 79-nucleotide transfer RNA is filed under the name Streptomyces avermitilis. RNAcentral describes it as "tRNA-Gly". The record is from RNAcentral. Lineage: Bacteria; Bacillati; Actinomycetota; Actinomycetes; Kitasatosporales; Streptomycetaceae.